UCCAGUUUUCAUGGCUGACGUUUAUCUCCACCUUUUCCUACCCAUCAUCUCCACUCCUACAAAAUGGCAGUUUUGGGCAAAUUGCAAAAAAAUAGGGCCAUGAUUCCUGAAUUCUACCUAUUGAUUGCAGUUUGCAGCGGUUUUCGUUCUGAAUUCCGCUCCACGUUCUGCUUCUACACUCCCUUAUAUUCCAAUCUGCAAUCCCCAUCUCCUCUUUAACUCCAAUCGCCUUGACUUAGAUAACCCUAACCAUCACCACCUAUGAUUGUACGACAAUCAUCGCACAACCACCACCACAACGACAUGAAUGGAUCGACAACCGUCACACCACCACUCCCUCAACAGCCGCAUCAGCGUCGAACUUCCGACACUCUAUUGUAAUCUCAUAUCUAUCUGAGAUCAUAUUAAAUCGGAAGGUUCUAAUCAGGGAUCGUUCUCAGAUGUAAUCGUGAAGGCUGUAGGCGAUACGUAUCAUCUUCACCGUUUGAUUCUCUCUCAUAACUCAUAUUUUUAGGUUUUCGAUUUUGAUAUUUUGAAUUCUGUUUUUGUCUACGGAUGCAUUAGGUUAUUGAUUGUUGUUUUCAUGCUUUUGUUUACUGUGUUUCGUUGGUGAGUGUGUUUGUGCAGAGUUAUUUUCCGUUAAUGACGAAGAUCAUUGGUAUUAUAGUACUAAAAUCGAGAUUUGUGGAAGUUAUUUUGUGGUUUCUCAUGGCUGGAAUGUCUGGAAUUAUGGUUUAUGUUUGCUUAAAGUAAACGAUUGACUUGAUUGGAACAUUUGUUAUGGCUCUGUGAAGAAUUUAGCUGAUACAAAGCUUUGAUUCAGAUAGUAUGUUGCACCUACAAAUGACGAUUAAAACUAUUUAAAGGAAAUUGUUGAUGGCAAUGGGAAGGCUGCAAAAGGUGGAAGAAGAGGACAAAAAAGUUCUGCCUUGCUGCUGUUGUGCAAGUAACAGCUGCAAACCCACGACCUACCUGUUGAUCAUAAUGAACCAACAUAUUGUUUCUGCAAACAAGUUAGCUAUGGGGAGAUGGUUGCGUGCGACAAUCCUGAUUGCAAGAUCGAAUGGUUCUGUUAUGGUGGUGUUGGUCUUAAAGAGCAAUCAAAAGAAAAUGGUAUUGUAGCAAUUGCAGCGGGAUACAAAAGCUUGGAAAGGGAAAAUAAAUUAGUCGGCUUUUUUCUGGUAUUAUAGAAGUAACUGGAGAUCAAUUAACCUGUAUUUUGUGCUUUUUAGGGUUUAAAUUGAUGUUUUGCACUACAUUUUGGUCAUUAGUAAUAAACUGCCUACUUGACCCUUA
Helianthus annuus (common sunflower) is the source of this 1296-nucleotide RNA transcript. RefSeq lists it as uncharacterized. The transcript is spliced from 5 exons. The record is from RefSeq and is a predicted model, not a curated record. Lineage: Eukaryota; Viridiplantae; Streptophyta; Magnoliopsida; Asterales; Asteraceae.